AGUGAACGCUGGCGGUAGGCCUAACACAUGCAAGUCGAACGGCAGCACAGUAAGAGCUUGCUCUUACGGGUGGCGAGUGGCGGACGGGUGAGGAAUACAUCGGAAUCUACUUUUUCGUGGGGGAUAACGUAGGGAAACUUACGCUAAUACCGCAUUCGACCUACGGUUGAAAGCAGGGGAUCUUCGGACCUUGCGCGAUUGAAUGAGCCGAUGUCGGAUUAGCUAGUUGGCGGGGUAAAGGCCCACCAAGGCGCCGAUCCGUAGCUGGUCUGAGAGGAUGAUCAGCCACACUGGAACUUAGACACGGUCCAGACUCCUACGGGAGGCAGCAGUGGGGAAUAUGAGACAAUGGGCGCAAGCCUGAUCCAGCCAUAGCGCGUGGGUGAAGAAGGCCUUCGGGUUGUAAAGCCCUUUUGUUGGGAAAGAAAAGCAGCAGGUUAAUACCCCGCUGUUCCGACGGUACCCAAAGAAUAAGCACCGGCUAACUUCGUG
RNAcentral lists this ribosomal RNA (492 nucleotides) under uncultured bacterium. RNAcentral's name for it is "partial 16S ribosomal RNA". It matches the Rfam family "Bacterial small subunit ribosomal RNA", at positions 29 to 507 of the family's 1533-position model. The record is from RNAcentral.